This 536-nucleotide long non-coding RNA is filed under the name Diuraphis noxia (Russian wheat aphid). RNAcentral's name for it is "uncharacterized LOC107171394, transcript variant X1". The record is from RNAcentral. Lineage: Eukaryota; Metazoa; Arthropoda; Insecta; Hemiptera; Aphididae.
AUUACGUCGACGAAGUAACUUAAGCUUUGUAAGUUUACUUGGUGUACAUAGUAAAUGAACACGUUUUACAACAGGAAUGAGUCUGCACCAUUUUGAAGGAAACCGCACAGAGUCCAUGUUCAAGUAUAUUUUGUUCAAAAACAUUUUUUACAGAGUUGUUUAUUUUACUAUGAUCAAGAUAGGGCUCUCUUAUUAAAUUUGUAUGAACUGGAAUACUACACAUUUGAGUUCUAUUAUUCCCAUAUUGUUUCUAAGAAAAAGCAAAAUUAUGAAUAUCAGAAUAUUAUAAACAUUAUUUGGGGAGAUUGNCAAUAAAGGCAGAGCUAAUUCAUUACAAUCAUCAUAGGAAUUUUCAUGAGUAAUAUCUAGUUUUUUGACAAUGCUGUUUGAUUUGGAAGAUAAAUGAUUUGUAUGUAUAUUGCCUUCAUCGACAAUUGCACCAGAAGUAUCAUGAAUAUUAUUACUUAAUCCUUCAAAAUCAAAUACAGGAUAUGCAUCUGCUUUUAAAAGUACCUUAAUUCAAAAAUAUACGUUAA